RNAcentral lists this ribosomal RNA (451 nucleotides) under uncultured bacterium. Its description in RNAcentral is "bacterial SSU rRNA". It matches the Rfam family "Bacterial small subunit ribosomal RNA", at positions 328 to 793 of the family's 1533-position model. The record is from RNAcentral.
ACACCAGACUCCUACGGGAGGCAGCAGUGGGGAAUAUUGGGCAAUGGAGGCAACUCUGACCCAGCAACGCCGCGUGAAUGAUGAAGGUCUUCGGAUUGUAAAGUUCUUUUCUAAGGGAAGAAGAAAGUGACGGUACCUUAGGAAUAAGCCUCGGCUAACUACGUGCCAGCAGCCGCGGUAAUACGUAGGAGGCAAGCGUUAUCCGGAUUUACUGGGUGUAAAGGGAGCGUAGACGGUGCGCCAAGUCUGGAGUGAAAUGCCGCAGCUUAACUGCGGAACUGCUUUGGAAACUGGCGAACUAGAGUGCGGGAGGGGUAAGCGGAAUUCCUAGUGUAGCGGUGAAAUGCGUAGAUAUUAGGAGGAACACCGGUGGCGAAGGCGGCUUACUGGACCGUAACUGACGUUGAGGCUCGAAAGCGUGGGGAGCAAACAGGAUUAGAUACCCUAGUAA